Molecule: ribosomal RNA, 385 nt
Filed under: uncultured bacterium
Lineage: Bacteria
Description: bacterial SSU rRNA
Rfam family: Bacterial small subunit ribosomal RNA
Source: RNAcentral
GACGAACGCUGGCGGCGUGCUUAACACAUGCAAGUCGAGCGGUAAGGCCCUUUCGGGGGUACACGAGCGGCGAACGGGUGAGUAACACGUGGGUGACCUGCCCUCAGCUCUGGGAUAAGCCCGGGAAACUGGGUCUAAUACCGGAUAUGACUUCAUGACGCAUGUUGUGGAGUGGAAAGCCUUGUGCGGCUGAGGAUGGGCCCGCGGCCUAUCAGCUUGUUGGUGGGGUGANGGCCUACCAAGGCGACGACGGGUAGCCGGCCUGAGAGGGCGACCGGCCACACUGGGACUGAGAUACGGCCCAGACUCCUACGGGAGGCAGCAGUGGGGAAUCUUGCGCAAUGGGCGAAAGCCUGACGCAGCGACGCCGCGUGAGGGAUGACGG